This is a non-coding RNA of Poecilia reticulata (guppy), 557 nucleotides long. Lineage: Eukaryota; Metazoa; Chordata; Actinopteri; Cyprinodontiformes; Poeciliidae. The record is from RefSeq and is a predicted model, not a curated record.
CUGCUACGCUACAGGUUAAGCUAAGCUAAGGCUAGCUAGCAUGACCGCUGAUGACGGUGGAUAAACUGUUUUCCUGGAAUGCUUUACCCCCACGCUGUUCUGAGUCAUCGUGUGAGCACUUCGAGAGCAGACAAAAGAAGGAAAAGUGGACAUGUCGAAGGUUUUCAGGUGAAAGGUGGGAUUAGAAGCUCCUCCCUAAAUAAAUCCACGGAGCGUCAACAGAUUGCGCCUCCAUUUACCUGAGAAGAUGGCAGCACACCAACUUUACUACAUUUUGUCAUGGUGUUAAACUUCAACAAGUCAUUAAUGAUGCCCUACACCAACAUCGACAAGGCCACGAUCCUGGACUUGGAGCUUUGAUUCUUGCCUCAAGGAGAUGCUUCAGAAUAAAAGUGAUCUUUCCAAAGUUUUGAAUCCCCUCAGACAUACUUGCUCCCUGGUUUGAACUUUGCUCUUUAAAAAUGAAUAAAAUUUUUCUUAAUUCAUAUGUUUUACUAUUAUUUCAUGAAGAUGCAUUUGUAUGAGGGGAGAAAUGUUAGCUAGGUGGUUAUCAGUUU